Molecule: long non-coding RNA, 1717 nt
Organism: Esox lucius (northern pike)
Lineage: Eukaryota; Metazoa; Chordata; Actinopteri; Esociformes; Esocidae
Source: Ensembl
CAGUGACAACUGACAAGAAAGCUGUUCUAGUCCGCCAUCGCCAAGUUGCCAUCAGUGUGAUGCGGGAACAGCGUCUGAUGACGGCAUGACUUUUGUUGAGGCCAUGCGCUAAAGGGAUUAGCUAUUUAAAGCCAGAGUCGACAGUGGAAAUUUCCCAUGUCCUCUGUAUCCAAGGGAGAUUGAUAGACGCGGCGUUGGUGAAGAGGUAAAUGGCAUUUACGCUAUAGCAUCUGUCUGGGGAAUUAGAUCUGCCUACCUCGCGACAUCAGUGAGGACAAAUCAGCAAAGAGCAAAUUACACAAUUUCUUAGAGAACUCAAAGAAAACCUACUAAAUAAAUAACAAGUUCGGAACAACUGGAUUAUUGAUUUACAGUUCCAUGCAUCGAGACGGAGCCCCCGUUUGCUCCAACAAGCCAUGCCAGUGAUGAUGCUGGAGGAGUUGUCUACUUUUCCCACAAGGCCAGAGUGGCCUACAGACAUCAGAUGGAAGGAAAUGUUAUAGAUGCCACCUACUGACCCAGAGGCUUGUCCUCCAGCCUCUGCUGUAGAAACACACUUUAAAGACUGUCAGGUCAGAAGGCUGUCUUAAUACGGACUGUAACCAUUUGCUUCAUUUAACCUGUCCAGACAGGAGAAUCACACUCUAGUUGAUAGUUAAUGAGCUGAGCUCUUGUCAAGGUUGGAGAUGCUUGAAAAAGAUGAAGGCUGAUGCGUUAUUUUGGAGAAUUGUCUGAUGAAUAUUAGAAUAUCUUUGAAAGAUUGCAGGUAACAAUUCUUGUAGAUAUGCGUUAACAAAACAUGUCGUUUACACUCUUGCCUUAAAGUGCAUUCUUCUUCUGUUAUUUUAUAAUUAGUCACUUUAUUUAUUGGCCUACAAUCCAAGUUGUGUAUUUCUGUCUGUUAUGCUAAAUGGGUUUGUAUCUAAACUAUUGUGUAGUAGUCCAUUUGCUGUAAAAUCUCUGCAAGUAGCAAGUGAUGUAUAACUACUGCUCAGCUAUACAAUUUAUGUGAAAUUUGUUAUUAACAUCACUUUACUGUAUAUUCUGUUUGUAUUUUCUAUCAUAAUCAGGACAUGCUAAUGCUAGGUUAAUAAUAAUGUGCAUUUUCAUUUACAUUUUGGAUUGCUGUUAAUAGCUUCCAGUUUAUGUAACCUUUGUACUGUGCUUCUAGUUGGGUCCAUGUUCUCUGUUAUCCUAUCACAGCUUUUAAACAGUUUUAUGAUUAAGACUGUAUUUUUGUAAGCCUGGGGAUGUCCUCAACUAACAGGCCUUUGUGACAGACAGUAAACACUGGUUAAAGAUUAACACUUAGUGAUGUGACCAAGCUGGAGGGAACUAUGGAGGUCAAUUUGACAGUGAAGCAGACAUGUUUUAUAUGUUUUAUAACCCUUUGUCCAUCAUAUGGAUGGACUAAGGGUUGAAUAUUGAAUGUGAGAGAGAAGUGAGAAGAGAGAGACAUUGAAUACUUCCAUGGAGAAAUACUCCAGUAUAUCUAGAGGUACUCAUUGUCAUGGUUUGUUUCAAACCCUUUCACAUGAGCAUCCAUUCAGUCUAUUUGAUAUCACUUCUAACUCAUUGUGUAGGUGCCCUUAUACCUACAUAUCAAAUAUGGAUAUCAUAUUUAAAUACAGCUGCCUGUUUUAUACCUUUACCUGUUUCAUUACCAUAGUAUAUUAUAAUGACAACCAGUUGUUUCAAUAAACAGUCAACCUAACUG